Paramuricea clavata is the source of this 857-nucleotide non-coding RNA. The record is from the annotation of a GenBank genome assembly. NCBI's taxonomy places the organism in Eukaryota, Metazoa, Cnidaria, Anthozoa, Malacalcyonacea, Plexauridae.
GACUUUUGUCAAGCUUCCAAACCAUGUUUAUUUUCUACUAACUAUGGUUCAUCGAAACGAAUUUUGAUUCUAUCAUCUAUGUUUUUUUCUCUGUAGUUUCAAAUGCACUGCAUCAGCUGCACCUCUUUUUGGACUUUUAAUAUGCAAAUGAAAUAAUGCCAGUCAGAGUUGGAAAUAUAAGACAUAUAAGAGAAGGGUAGCUCCACUGAGCUCAAUGGCUAGGUGUGUCAAAUAUGUAUCUAAAAUAUUCAUGCCCGUCUUAUUAAAUAUGGUGAAAACGUAAUAAAUGUCUCUACUAGUAGAUAACAAUUAACAAUGUAAUUCAGUUUGCAGUUCAGGAUACCUGCUUACGGCCGGCGACACUAAUUGCAUGGUAAUUCGUUAUAAUUAAUUAUAAAUAAAUAAAUAUAACUAUAAAUGUCAUAAAUAAAUAUAAAUUAAUUAAUAAUAAUAUAUAUAAUUUAGGAACAUACCUAAUUUUAGUGUGCAGUGACAACCAAUUUGUGCAGUGAUAAAAGUAAAAUGUGCAGUGAUAAAAUGUAAAAUGUGCAGUGAUAAAAUUUGCUUUGAUAAGUUGUUAAUUAACACAAGAGAAUGAUUUAAUUGAAAUUGAAAUGAUGACUGCCAAAUUAUCGAUUUAAAUAAUAGUAUAUGUUUUUUGUACGAAAAUCAUGAGAUUCAGGCAAUUUUUAGUUAAUAUCUGGCUUUUGGUAUGUCCGGAAAAAAUUUUUGACCCUUAAAAUGGUACACUGACCAAAAUUUUUUUGGCGACGGGGGGGGGGGAAGGUCGCCAAAAAUUUCCGAAUAUUCGGAAAUUUUCUUAGUCAUUCGGAAAUUUUUGGCAUAAAAUGUGCAGU